Molecule: long non-coding RNA, 580 nt
Filed under: Prunus dulcis (almond)
Lineage: Eukaryota; Viridiplantae; Streptophyta; Magnoliopsida; Rosales; Rosaceae
Description: sRNA ncRNA
Source: RNAcentral
AUGAAGAAUUCAAAGGAUAGGCUGCACAAACGUGGCCUCCCUUUUCAAGCUUUGUUCCUCUCUUUUUUGUGCACACAGCUGAUUUUUAUUUGCUGUGAGAUUAAAUCCCUCCAUGAUUAUGUUUGUGGGUUUUGUACCCAAAUUGGAUUUGUGCUCUUGAGAACCCACUGAAUGAGUUUUAUGCCCAAAAAUGGAUAUACCAUUCAGGGUAUUUGAUUGAGGGUUACACACCCAUGAUGGAUUUUGUAUCCAAUAUUUUGUAUCCAUUUCAAAGGAUUUUCUUUUGCUCGGCAGAGCUUUGUUAAACAGAAAUCCUCUCAUGGAUUUGUUGUUCAUGAUUUAAGGGUUGCCACCCAUUAUGGAUUUAUCAUCCAAGAGUUUUAUUUGAGGGUUGCCACCCAAUAUGGAUUCAUCAUCCAAGAGAAUGAUUUUAGGGUUGCCACCCAACAAGAAUUAAUUGACAGGAUCUAUAUACCUGUGAAAAUGUCUCCUCUUGUAUUUGUGCUCCUGCAAUUUUCCUUCUGCAACAAUUUUCUUCUUCUGUCGUCUUCUCCUUCUUUUCUGUCCUCUUUCUCUUCUU